UCGUUUCCAAAAUUUGAGGAAAAAACAACCACCCAGCCGGUCGUCUCUAUUCCCCUUUUCGCCUCCUCACACCCAACACGAACAGAGGAAGGGAAAUCCCUAUGUCUCCGGCGUCCGCCGCCGACGCGAGCCCGACAACGGGGACGAUUCGAGGGGCGGAGCAUAGACGGCGAGCUCGACGAGACCAACCACCACGCGGAGGCCCAGAGGCCAAUCGUAGAGGCGCUCCUGCAACCAGAGCCCAGGAAGGAGAAGGGACAGGACGCCCAUGACGCGAAGAACGACGGCGGGGGGACGACGAGCUGCUACAUCUCCUGGGGGUAUAGAAGGUAAGCUCGUCGCGCCCUAACACUCUCUCAUUUGAUAGUUGGGGAAAGUCAGCUGUGUCGCUCAAGAGGGUAGUCGGUGCGUUGCGAUCCCGCGGGCAAUCCCGCACCAUCCACACGGUUUUUCGUCUUGAAACUGUAGCCCACCAUUGAACAGAGUGGGAUCCCCUCUCGAAUUGUAGGUUCAGGUUUGUGUGUAGCGCAUCACAAUUCAAGGGAAGGCGAUUUUAAUGGUAUUCACAGAAUGUUGUUAGUAUCCAGGGGGUGGUGGUGGUGUGCUUUAGUUGUGAUUUUUUUUCAGUUCAGGGGCUGGAUGUAGGCAAUUUUGUUCAACGUUUUAGCCACUUAUGCAGUAUUAGUGUCUCCAGUAGCAUGCAAGUUUUACAAUACUUGUCAACCGGGGAAUAGGCAUGUUUCACAGCACUGAAAACCGGGGAAUACCUGCAAUGUCAUGGAUCAGACAUAAUCCAGGCAUUGGUCCAAAAGAAAUUCAACAGAAGUUACUUGAGAAAUAUGGAGUUGAACCUCCAUAUAUGAGAUGUUACUAUGGGAAACAGAUGGCCCUUGAUGGGAUAUAUGGCAACUAUAGUGACAGUUUUUAGCUACUUUACACAUUCAAGGCUGAAGUUGAGAGGGCUUCACCUGGCAGUGUUGUUGAGAUUGACAAGCUCCGAGGUAAAACUUUCCAGAAAGAGUUCUUUAGAAGAGUAUUUGUCUGUUUCAAGGCUUUUCAAAAAGGGUUUCUUUGAGGGGUGUUGAUGCUACAGCAUUGAAUGGUAGGUUUAGAGGCCAACUAGUUGCUGCAUGUGCCACAGAUGCUCAUAACUGGCUAUUUCCUGUAGCAUAUGGUGUCAUAGAAGCAGAGUCUGAAGAGAGUUGGGGUUGGUUUUUUAGAAACCUAAAAAAUGUCAUAGGACACCCAGAAGGUCUGGUGAUACAUACUGAUGCUUGUAAAGGACUUGAAACUGUUGUGGAAGAGGUCUACCCUGCAGUUGAUCAUAAAGAGUGCAUGAGGCAUCUAGCUCAGAAUUUUAGUAAGAAGUUCAAUGGGAAGUUUUAUGAUGAGAAUUUGUGGCUUUCCUCACUAACUUACAGUAUCAAUAAGCAUAACUACCAUGUGAGACAGUUGCACAGCAAGCCCAAGGUCAAGGAAUAUUUGGAAAUGCACCACACACAAAAUAUGGGCUAGAGCUCUAAUAAAUGAUUUCUGCAAGGUUGACUAUGCCAACAACAACCUGGCAAAAGCAUUUAACUCCAAGAUCAAGAAAUGCAAGGGGCUGCACAUAGUGGACUUGCUACACAAGAUUAAGCAAUACAUCAUGGAGAAGUUUGAUAUAAGGAAUAGGAUUGCCAUUGAUCAUUUCAUUCGCCACAACAUCAUACCAUCUGUAAUGAAGGGCUUGAUGGCAAAAUCAAAAUUUUUGGAAAUGAUUAUGGUCAGGACAAGCCCAACAGAGGCAGAGGUGACUGCUACUGACAAAGAAAAAGGAGAAUGGAGGUAUCCAGUAGACCUAGCUAAGUGGACUUACAGCUGUAGACAGUGGUAACUCACUGGCAAGCCACCCAUCCAUGCUCUCUUUUUUAUUACAGCUCUUAGAGGUGAAGCCAAUGCCAUUGAUCAAUAUGUUCAUAAGUACUACUCUGUUGAGAUAUUCAUAGCUACUUAUGCUGACAACCUACCAGCUUUAGAGGGAAAGCAACAGUGGGACAUAGUGGAUCCAGGAUUCAAAUUGUGUGCACCAGUCCAGAACAGAGCACCAGGUAGGCCAAGAAAGCAAAGGAUCAGGUUCUAGUAGUGAAGGAAAGGGGCUCGGUGCUAGAAAGAGAAAGUGCAAGAGGUGUGGGAGAUUUGGACACAUUGCCAAACACUGCAAACAAUCAGUUGAUGUUGCAUUUGGAGAGGAGGAUGAACAUUAGGGACCAUAAAUUUGUGGAUGAGGCUGUAACAGAACCACUAAACAAUGAGGAAAAUGCAAAUGAUGAUGGAACAGAUGAUGAUGAUGAUGAUGAUGAUGAUGGAGUUGGGAAGGUCAUUGAGCAGCCAUCUACACAAAUUGAGCAGCCAUCUACUAGUGUACUGAGCCCUAGCAAAAAAUACAAAAGAGCACCUGACAGAGGGGCUUGUCCAAUGGCUAAGAAGAAACGAGGCCAUGCAGCAGUAGUUCAACCCUCUACUCAUGCUCCAUCUCGAGCUCCAGCUCCAGCAAAGAACACUAGAUCCAAGGAAAGGUUGUUACCCAACCCAGCAAGAAACACUAGGAGCAAAGCACUGAAGUUCUAAUUGCUCCCUGUCAUGUUUAACUUAAUAAUGUAAUGUGCACUUGGCUCUUGAAUGUGCACUAUCAUGUUGUGAUGUUGAACUACUUUGGUAUGUCGUCGUGUUAUGCUGAACAACUAUGGUAUGUUGUGUGUUAUGUUCAACAACUAUGGUAUGUUGUCCUCGUGUUAUGUUAAACUGAAUUGUUAUCAUUAUGUGACGUUCAACUAUUGUGCAA
Molecule: long non-coding RNA, 2821 nt
Organism: Hordeum vulgare subsp. vulgare (domesticated barley)
Lineage: Eukaryota; Viridiplantae; Streptophyta; Magnoliopsida; Poales; Poaceae
Exons: 2
Source: RefSeq, a predicted model, not a curated record